Molecule: non-coding RNA, 2694 nt
Organism: Pelobates cultripes (western spadefoot toad)
Lineage: Eukaryota; Metazoa; Chordata; Amphibia; Anura; Pelobatidae
Source: the annotation of a GenBank genome assembly
GGUGGCCACCAUUUCCUGUAUCAGAGGCACAUGGUGAGAACAAUGGAUGAAGCACAUGGUGAGAACAAUGGAUGGCAGCCAUUUUAACUCACAGACACUGUUUGGACUUUUCAACACGGUGCCAUCUCGCCAGUGUUUGGUGCACAUCGUGCAGUGGUUUUGGACUAUACAGCAGGGGACACAUUAUACAGUGAUUGUUUUUAAUUUAGCCUGUAUAUGUUCUGCAGAAUCUGCAUUAAACUGUAUCUUCCAAAGUACUGAAUGGAUCUGGGUGAAUUUCGGAUAUGUGGUUCACCCAGAUCCCCCGGUUCCAAGGAUAUACUUUUUAUGGGGUUAUUGCAUGUUUUGGGGUCCCUGUGAUGUGUUUUAUGAAACUGUAUUUCUCUGUCUGUAAUAAUUAGAUUACCCAUUGUGUAUUACAGGCAGAGGGGAGGAUUUUGUGUGGGAGUGUCUGUGUGUAUUGCACAGAUUGAUUGGUUGUUCUGUAAAACCCUGUGGGCAGUACUAAAUUUGUGGAUUGGGAAUAAAAGAGGCUGUAUGUGCCAGUCCAGUGAGUUCCUGUUUUAACCCUCAAAGUGAAGUGUUGUCUCAUUAUUGGGGGAAGGAUUUAUUGUAUGCUGUUCCAGUUUGACUGCUAGGAGAGUAAACCUAUUCGUAUGGUUCCUAUUCAACUGUCUACAGCAUUCAUAUGCUUGAGAGAAGGUAUACGCUUCUCUGGUUCGGUGAUUGUGGUGUCUGCCAGAGUGCUUGGAGUCCUCAGGAAACGCUAGGAGCAUCCUUUAACGGAGGUACCCAAUCGGGGUGCCAGGUGAUCCGUUUCACUAAGGGAAUCAUCUUUUGAAGCUAUUGGGAUUACUAUAUGGUUCGUCUACUCUAUCUACCGAACGGAGGGCUAUAAUCACUAAGGCUCUGGCGGUUCGGGAGGAAACUACCGAAUGAAGUUUAAAUAUACUUGGUUUCCUUACACAGUAAAACACAAAUACUACAAUAUACAAAUCGUGCCAUACUAAUAGUGCAACACAAAUACUACAAUAUAAAAAUCAUGCAACACAAAUACUACAAUAUAAAAAUAGUGCCAGACUAAUAGUGCUACACAAAUACUACAAUAUAUAAAUAGUGCAACACAAAUACUACCAUAUAAAAAUAGAGCCAAACUAAUAGUGCAACACAAAUACUACAAUAUAAAAAUAGUGCCAUACUAAUAGUGUGUUACGGGCGCUCUACAGAACGUUACGGGAUUACCCGGUUUAUUUUACCGUAUACUCUGUUUCGGUAGUUAUAAUGUAUAAGACACAUUACACUAGUAGUCAGGACUAUGUAUUCGCGUAUACGAACAAAAGACCACCAGGCCCUUGGCGUGUGCCGCCACUUAACCUUUUUCACCUUUAAAACAACCGAACGACCGACCACCCUACAAGCGGAGGGUGCUUCCAAUUGACCACCGGGAAGCUGCGGUCUGCGGUUAACCACAAGCCUGAUUGACUGCCUCGUUCGGAUAAUAAUUAACCGAACUGAAACUCCUGAAAGACUUCCGAACGAGGACCACCUACACCCGGGUGUGUAGCCCCAAUUAGAACGUUGGGUCUGUGGUUGACCGCAAGUUAAGUACCCCCUUCAUGGCGGUCUCUGUUCGGCUCACAAAGGGCUGGGACAACCAUCCUCUGAGCGGUAUUCGCACAAUUGUUCAUCCGCUACUCGCUCCAGGGGUUUUAGGGCCAGGUCCCGCUCUCUAUUCACCAGCCUGAAAACAUGGCCACUGUGGCGAAACCUCCCUCGCCACUGAGCAUUGGAGAAGACUUAUUGCCUGUAUCAGAGGCACAUGGUAAGAACAAUGGAUGGCGGCCAUUUUAACUCACAGACACUGUUUGGACUUUUCAACAAGGUGCCAUCUCACCGGUAUUUGGUGCACAGAGACAUCGUGCAGUGGUUUUGGACUAUACAACAGGGGACACAUUAUAAAGUAAUUGUUUUUCAUUUAGCCUGCGUAUGUUCUGUGGAAUCUGCAUUAAACUGUAUCUUCCAAAGUACUGAACGGAUCUGGGUGAAUUUUGGAUAUGUGGUUCACCCAGAUCCCCUGGUUCCAAGUAUGGGGUUAUUGCAUGUUUUGGAGUCCCCGUGAUGUGUUUUAUGAUACUGUAUUUCUCUGCCUGUGAUAAUUAGAUUAACCAUUGUGUUCAGUAAUCAUAUCACAGGCAGAAGGGAGGAUUUUGUGUGGGAGUGUCUGUGUGUAUUGUACGGAUUGAUUGGUUGUUCUGUAAAACCCUGUAGGCAGUACUAAGUUUGUGGAUUGGGAAUAAAAGAGGCUGUAUGUGCCAGUCCAGUCAGUUCUGCUUGACCUCAAAACGAAGUGUUGUCUCGUUAUUGGGGGAAUUGGAUUGUAUGCUGAUUGCCAGGAGUGUAAACUGAUUGUAUGCUUUUCCUGUUCAGCUGCUUACAGCAUUCAUAUGCUUGAGAGCAUUCGUAUGCUUCUCCGGUUUGGUGGUUGUGGUGUCUGCUGCAGUGCUUGGAGUCCUCAGGAAGCGCUAGGAGCAUCCUUCAACAGAGGUACCCAGUCGGGGUGCCAGGUGAUCCGUUACAGCCGCCAUCUCGUGUUCGGGACAAAAAGGCACAAAAGGACUUUGUAUUGAAGGGACUGUCUAUACCGUUCGUGAGAUCUGAGCGCUAUUCGCCUAUCUGCUGCGCUCAGAUCUGGGC